UACAGAGGCCCCAAGCGUUAGGCGGAAUCACUUGGCUUAAAGCGUGUGUAGGCGGAUCGUUAAGUGUCUUGUGAAAUCCCACGGCUCACCCGUGGAACUGCUGGGCAUACUGGCGAUCUUGGGCCAACUAGGGGCAGCCGGAACAAGCGGUGGAGCGGUGAAAUGCGUAGAUAUGCGGAGGAACACCGAUGGCGAAGGCAAUCCCCUGGACCUGUACUGACGCUCAUGCACGAAAGCGUGGGGAGCAAACAGG
This 253-nucleotide ribosomal RNA is filed under the name uncultured bacterium. RNAcentral's name for it is "partial 16S ribosomal RNA". It matches the Rfam family "Bacterial small subunit ribosomal RNA", at positions 524 to 776 of the family's 1533-position model. The record is from RNAcentral.